Molecule: ribosomal RNA, 409 nt
Filed under: Actinomycetes bacterium
Lineage: Bacteria; Bacillati; Actinomycetota; Actinomycetes
Description: Actinobacteria bacterium partial 16S ribosomal RNA
Rfam family: Bacterial small subunit ribosomal RNA
Source: RNAcentral
UGGGGAAUAUUUCACAAUGGGCGGAAGCCUGAUGCAGCGACGCCGCGUGGGGGAUGAAGGCCUUCGGGUUGUAAACUCCUUUCGACAGGGACGAAGCUUUUGUGACGGUACCUGUAUAAGAAGCACCGGCUAACUACGUGCCAGCAGCCGCGGUAAUACGUAGGGUGCGAGCGUUGUCCGGAAUUACUGGGCGUAAAGAGCUCGUAGGUGGUUUGUCGCGUCGUCUGUGAAAUUCCGGGGCUUAACUCCGGGCGUGCAGGCGAUACGGGAUGACUUGAGUGCUGUAGGGGAGAAGGGAAUUCCUGGUGUAGCGGUGAAAUGCGCAGAUAUCAGGAGGAACACCGAGGGCGAAGGCAGGUCUCUGGGCAGUAACGGACGCUGAGGAGCGAAAGCAUGGGUAGCGAACAGG